This is a long non-coding RNA of Terrapene triunguis (Three-toed box turtle), 2376 nucleotides long. RefSeq lists it as uncharacterized. Lineage: Eukaryota; Metazoa; Chordata; Testudines; Emydidae. The record is from RefSeq and is a predicted model, not a curated record. The transcript is spliced from 3 exons.
AGGUUGUGCCAAGUGGUGCUCGACAGACUGCGGAGUCUGAAACACAAAUGCCAUCAACAGCAGAAACCAUCGAUCCCUUGUUUUACCCUAGUUGGUAUAAGGCCAAAUCACGGCAAGCAAGCAGCCCAAGUUUGACCCAACUGAGUGAUGGGUUGGGCCAAGUAGGGCCGUCCAUUUCUCUGGAAAUGAAUGUAAAGAAGGCAGAAACUACAGAAGCAGCAACAAACAAUGAGUGUGCACCUGGGAGUGGUAAGGAAACUAGCACAACUGCAGCUACUUCCCAGAACUGUUACAAAGAAUUAGGGCCGCAUCCUGCACGCCACACUCAGACUGGGUCUGAACCAUCCCCUCAAGGACAAGUGGAAGACGUUCCAGUGAGCAGUGAAAGAGCUGAUGAGCCGGCUCGUCAUGUCUUCUCUUUCUCCUGGUUAAACUCAUUGAAUGAAUGAUGAGUAUCAUUCCGGCUGGCUUUGGAUGUGCUUACCUGAGAGGAGCUAUGAGGCAGCAAGUGACCUGGCUGGAACCAACAAGAAAUAGUCCAUAUAAGAGACAUCUUGAUCAGGUUUAAUUCCAAGGGCCUUAUUUGAAUUCCAUGAGACUGUAUCUGAUACUUUUAGAUUAGAGUGAUGUUUGGAAAUAGCUGAAUAAAGGGAGUGGGAAAACUGGACUAAUAGAUGUCUUGAUGAAAUACUAUAUUAAAUUUGACUGUGUGUUCAAGUAAAACCUGUUUCAGAAAGGAGAAUGUUGAACAGAAGCUUCAUGCUAUAAUUACAGUUGCAAAAUUAGUGAGCACUAUGAUUGUUUGUAGCCAGCCUGGGUGUCCUGUUGUAUUUUUGUAAGUGCUUACCCAACACUGUUAGUUGAAAUAUGACUAAUGGCAUCAUUUGUCAAUGAAAAUAUGACCCCCUCACUACUCUUAAUUACUCCAGUUGGAGUAACUCCAUCUUUUCAACUUAUUGAUAAUGCUUGUGGCAAAUCCUUGAUGAAAGCUACAGAAUUCAAAGGUAAGUCUAAAACUCCACUCAACACAACCACUGUGCUGCAUUACUCCAGCACAAGUGGUGCUACUGCAUGCUGAUGUGUAAUAACUGAGCAUAAAUGGGGAUGGCAAGAGGAGCAUUUCACCCUUAGAUUUGUAUUUUCCAGCUGAGGUUCAUAGGUCACAAUGAAUAACACUUGAACCAUUCAGAAAUGUUAUUUGGUGUUACAUUUUAUAUAGCUGUAGACAUUAAAGAUAUAGCUAUAGGAAGCACUGGAUUGGAACCCUUCCCAAAUUAUGUGGGAUAUGGAUUGGUAUGUGGUUUAUUAUCUGUACUUCCUCAAAAGGCAAGGAGAGGGUUCUGGAUGAGUAUGUCAGCUUGUGCCUGUCUAUAUCCAUAUCUGUUAUACCUAUAGCUUCUCAACUUCCUUUAAUACAUGAAAUCAACACUCACUUUUAUCAUAUUGAGCAAUUUGAUAGUAAAAGGGCAAGACCUUUGAAACCACAAAAGACCAUUCUGAGCUGAACUGUGAUGAGUUUAUUGCAAGUAUCUGUUAAAGAUUGCAUUUAAAAGAUUAUAAACCCAUGGAAAAGGCUACCACAGUGCAGAGAGAAGUGUACUACAGAUAUUUAACUAAUGAAACUGAUUACAUAAACUGACAUGCCUUUUAAAAUGGUGAGCAGAUUGACAUUGCAUUUGAUUCUGAAGGUGAAAUCCUGGGAGUUUUCCCACUGACUUCCAUGGGGUCAGGAUUUCACCCUAACACUCUAAGGAAAAAUGAUUACAGAAUUGAAUACUGUAUUUCCUAAUGGGUGCUGACUGUCAUCAUCUCUGAAAGAGUUCAAUAGUCUUUGAGAGUGAUCAAUAUCUUACAGGGUUAGGGUCUAAGAGAGGGAUCCAAAGCCCAUUGAAGUCAAGGGGAAUCUUUCCACUGACUUCAAUGGGCUUUGGAUCAGGCCCUGAAUACAUAGCUCUUCUUAUAGUACCAUGACUGACCAUGAAGACAUGCUUUUUUUUUUUUUCAUGGUACCAUAGUCAAUAGCAUGAAAUGGUUGAUUAAUACAUGCUAGAAGGCAAUAUAGUCUAAUGUGGGAGCCAAGUAAUUCUUGAAUACAAAAGCCCAAUUCUGACAACAGUUUGCAAUGUAGCCUUUGGAAAGCCACUUACUAUCUAUGUUGUUUCUGUUUUUCUUCCUGUAAAAUGGGACUAUGAAGGAUGGAUUUGAGGAUCAAUUAGUUAAUGUUUGUAAAGAGCUUUGAAAUAACAAAGCAUAUGUUAAGAGUUAUAUCUUCACUGAACAGCAGUAAAAUUCAUCACCACAUCCAGUUGUGUUUUUUCCACAAGAUUUUGUUCUUGUUUUUUGACAAGAAAUUCCUAAUGAAUAUUUGCAACCAGG